AUUGACCACCAUUCUGUCCUGAACACACCCAGUCUCAUCUGGUUUUAAGACCUAAGCAGGGUCAGUCCUGGUUAGUAUCUGGAUGGGAGACAACCAGGGAGCAGCAAGGAUCUCCAGGU
RNAcentral lists this ribosomal RNA (119 nucleotides) under Pogona vitticeps (central bearded dragon). Lineage: Eukaryota; Metazoa; Chordata; Lepidosauria; Squamata; Agamidae. The record is from RNAcentral.